This 72-nucleotide transfer RNA is filed under the name Vaillantella maassi. RNAcentral describes it as "tRNA-Val". The record is from RNAcentral. Lineage: Eukaryota; Metazoa; Chordata; Actinopteri; Cypriniformes; Vaillantellidae.
CAGGGUGUGGCUGAGAUAGUUAAGCAACUCCCCUACACCGAGAAGAUAUCCAUGCAAGUUGGAUCACCCUGA